RNAcentral lists this ribosomal RNA (300 nucleotides) under Triticum aestivum (bread wheat). Its description in RNAcentral is "partial small subunit ribosomal RNA". The record is from RNAcentral. Lineage: Eukaryota; Viridiplantae; Streptophyta; Magnoliopsida; Poales; Poaceae.
AUGACAGUACUUCAAAGAGAAGUAAUUAUAAUAAAUUGUUCCUUCAUGUUUUUUUCCCAGAAAGUAGCCUCCAUGCUUCUUAAAUCUGGGUACUGUUUUGUACAGAAGCUUUCAUCUAUAGAGAAGCACAUCUGUUUCAGGUACAUACUAUUAAAACUUAUGAGCAAGUUUGCUGCAAUGAUGUUCCACAUAUAUGGUUUGCAGCUCUAUCAAUUAAAUUUGGUGCCAACUUUUUGUACAAUUCUGCGACUUAUAGUUUCACCCAACUAUUAUGUGAUGAAUUUAGAGGGAUGGAGGUAA